UGGGCAAGAGCAUGAUUUAUGCGGUUAGUUUCGGCCUAACAGAAUCUAGAAAGAUUGGUCAA
RNAcentral lists this transfer RNA (62 nucleotides) under Polyplax spinulosa (spined rat louse). Its description in RNAcentral is "tRNA-Arg". Lineage: Eukaryota; Metazoa; Arthropoda; Insecta; Psocodea; Polyplacidae. The record is from RNAcentral.